Molecule: long non-coding RNA, 4541 nt
Organism: Neofelis nebulosa (Clouded leopard)
Lineage: Eukaryota; Metazoa; Chordata; Mammalia; Carnivora; Felidae
Exons: 2
Source: RefSeq, a predicted model, not a curated record
GUCCAGUUUGCUGCUAAUUUUUUUUAUUGUAAUCCUUUGCAUUUCUGUGGGUGUUGUCACUUUUCCUCUUUCACUUCUGAUUUUAUUUUUGUCCUUUUUUAAAAUCUGACUGAAGAUUUAUCAAUAUUUAUUUAUUCAGAGAACUGACUCUUGGUUUCAUUGAUCUUUUCUUUUUUAGUCUCUAUUUCAUGUAUUUCUGCCCUGACCUAUAUUAUUUCCUUCCUUCUCCUAACCUUGAGAUUUUAUUUUCUUCUUUUUCUAGUUCUUUUAGGUGUAAGUUUACAUUGUUAAUUUGAGAUUUUUCUCAAAGAUUUUGGACUUCUGUGUUUUCAUUUUCAUUUUUCUAUGUGUAGUUUUUUUUUAAUUUUCUCUUUGAUUUCUUUGUAACUCAUGGGUUGUGUAGUUGCAUAUGAUUUAGUUUCUAUGUUUAUAUUUUUACUGGUUUUGUUCUUGUGAUUGAUUUCUGGUUUCAUAUCAUUGUUGGAAAUAAUGCAUGAUAUGCCUUUAACCUUCUUAAACUUACUGAGAUUUGGAUUGUUGGAGUGAUCCCUUUAUUAUGUAGUGGUCUUCUUUUUGUCUUGUUAUAGUCUUUGUUUUAAGGUCUAUUUUGUCUAACUAUUGCUACCUGGCUUUCCCCCGUUCCCCCCACUUCUAUUUGCAUGGUAUAUCUUUUUCUAGCCUUUCAUUUUCAGUCUGUAUGUGUCUUUAGGACUGAAAUGAGUCUCUUGUAGACACCAUAUAGAUGGCUUUUUUUCCCCAUCCAUUCUGCCACUCUGUCUUUUGAUUGGACAUUUAGACCAUUUACAUUUAAAGUAAUUAUUGAUAUGUACUUAUUGCCAUUUUGUUAGUUGUUUCCUGGAUGUUUUUGUAUUUUUUUGUUUCUUCUCUUGCUCUUUCCUUGUGAUUGAUGACUUUCUAUAGUGUUAGGCUUGGCUUUCUUUCUCUUUAUUUUUGUGUAUCUGUUAGAGGUUUUGGGUUUAUGGUUACUAUGAAGUUCAUAUAUAGGAUUCUAAGUAUCUGACAGACUAUAUCAAGUUGGUGGUCAUUUAAGUCUGAACACAUUCUUCUUUUUUACUCCUGCGUGUUUUAGGUGUAUGUUGUCAUAUUUUACAUCUUUUUAAUUCAUAAUUUUUUUACUUCUACUUAUGGCCUUACCCCACCUCCCCCAUCUCCCCCAAUUAAGUACCUUUAACAUUUCGUGUAAGACCAGAACUCCUUUUACUUUUGUUUGGGAAACUCUUUAUCUCUCCUUCAAUUCUAAAUGAUAACCUUGACUAGUGGAGUAUUCCUGAUUGUAGUUCUUUGAAUAUAUCAUGCCACCUCCUUCUGGUCUAUUAAGUUUCUGCUGAAAAAUCAUCUGAUAGCCUUAUGGAGUUCCCCUUAUAUAUAGCUUUUGCUUCUCUUUUACAACUUCUGAAAUUCUUUUUAUCUUUAAACUUUGCCAUUUUAAUUAUUAUGUGUUUUGGCAUAGACCUCCUGAGGUUCAUUUAGUUUAGAACUGCCCUGUUGUUUUUUUUGUUUUUUUUUAAACACAUUUCUUAAAGGAGUCAUUUCGGCUUACUAGUCCAUUCUGAUCUUUCAGUUACUUUUCAGAGCCUGGCAGCCAGCGUCUGCCCUCACCAUUCCAAUGACACUUACCUGACGAAGAUUACUGAUGAUCUAUUUGUAGACUUGUUCGUUUGACCUCUCUGAAACCUAACACCAUCAAUGUGACCUUGGUCUCACUGUGAGAACAGGGGAGGAGCAGAGAGAGGGAAACAGAGAAUCCCAAGCAGGCUCCAUACUGUCAGCACAGACCCCGACACUGGGCUUGAUCUCAUGGACUCUGAGAUCAUGACCUGAGCCGAGAUCAACAGCUGGGUACUCAACUAACCGAGCCACUCGUUUGGAAGAAAAAAUUCAAUUAGGUGUUAACUGUUACCAAAGUGAUUCCUUAAAAAUGACUGAUAAAAGAAAAAAAAAAAAGCAGGCUAUAGUCAACUAUUUUAGGGCAAAUCCCAUGGCAGAAAUGGAAGGCUUGGUUACAUGGAUACCAGUUCACACUGAAACUAUGGAGAGCUGGCUAGCAUCUAAGCUCAAGCUUGAGAGUUAAAAAAGUUACACUAUGUAACCACAUCUAUUUGUGUAUAAAGUAACAUAUAUAUAUUAUAUGUGAAGUAAAAAGCAGAGGAGGGGUCAAAGGAUACUUAUUUUAGUGCAAACAGACUAGUAAUGUUAGGGCUGAUAAGAUAGCCCGAGUAAGCCACAGCUGUUCUGAAGAUGGCAUAGAGGAGACAGGGCAAUGUGCAAUUAGGAAAACUCUGAAGACCUGUACCUAGUAUGAGUUUCCUUUAAAGCUAUGCAGUGGCCUUUGCUCUUUUAGCUGCCUAUAGAAAUCUGUGCUAAAAAAAUCCUUUUGAAUUUCAUUUCCAUGAUGAGGACAGGGUGGUACUGUCGUCUUCUGGUUUGUUCCUAAUCAAACCCAAGUGUACCUUUCAAUAAAAAUGUCAUAUAAAUGUGUGUUUGUCCUAUUUUAACUUAUAUAAUACAUUUUAUAAAAUUUUAUCUUGUACAUGCUUUCACAAUACUGUGCGUAAUCAGCAAUGUUUCAUCAUCCUGUCUAGAAAUUCUAAGGAGAGAUAAGAUCAUUUCAAACUCAGUUCAUUUUAUUUAAAAAAAAAGGUUUUUAAAUGUUUUUAUUUUUGAGAGAGAGACAAUGAGCGAGUGCUAGUGGGGGAGGGGUAGAGAGACAAGGAGGGAGAGAAUCCCAAGCAGGCUCCAUGCUAUCAGUGCAGAGCAGGAUGCAGGGCUCAGACCCCAUGAGAUCAUAAAGUGAGCUGAAACCAUAAGUCGGUCACUCAACCAACUGAGCCACCAGGUGCUCCUACUCUAUUUUUUUUUUUUUUUUAAUGUUUACUUUUCAGAGAGAGAGAGCACAAGCAAGCAGGGAAGGAGCAAAGAGAGGGGGAGACAGAGAAUCUCCAGCAGGCUCUGCUCUGUCAGCACAGAACCCAAUGUGGGGCUCAAACUCAUAAACCUAUGAGAUCAUGACCUGGGCUGAGAUCAAGAGUUUGACGCUUAACUGACUGAGCCACCCAGGCAUUCCUCACACUCAAUUUAAAGAAUUUCUGGGUUGUACUUCAUAUCCUGAAUCUCAAUUCCUAACAAUGCAGUGAUAUUAGGACUUUUAAAGAACAGAGCUAACACGAGUCCAUCUUGUCAUAAUCCCACUCACAAAAAAAAAAAAAAAAAAAAGUUAUGGCCUGUGGCACUUACAACUUGACUAAAGGUAGCAUGAAAGACAAUAAAAACAAAAACAACCUUCAGAAAGGUUUGGAGGUAGGAAUCUACCAUAGAUGGUCAUUUAAAAAAAAAAAAAAAUUUAUUUUUGAGACAAAGAUUGCACGAGCGAGCAGAGGAGGGACAGAGAGAGAGGGAGGGAGAGAGAAUCCCAAGCAGAUUCCACGCUCCGGGCAUACCCUGACAUGGGGCUCGAUCUCACAACAGUGAGAUCAUGACAUGAGCUGAAAUCAAGAGUCAGACACACAACUGAAUGAGCCACCCAGGCACCCCCACAGAUGGUCAUUUUUAAAUGUUUCCUAUUUCUGUGAUGUUUGGGUCGGGGGGAAAACAUUUAUUUGGAAUAAAAAAGAGUAAGAGAAGAUAUUAUACAGCGUAUUGAGAUGUCUGGUUUAUGAAUAUACCAAAAGCAAAUUUCAACUUAAAGACUAAGAAAGAAAACAGCCAUUCCAAGAUCAUUUAGUUGCAGGAAAAAGUCUAACUGUGGCUAUAAGAAGCUAACCAUUUUCAUUUAAAUGGAUGACUGAAAAUUGGUAAGUUCUCAGAGACUUCAGACUACAAUUAAAAAGUGAAAAAAAUUCAAAUAUACAUCCCACUUUCCACACCUUCAAUCCUAAAGCAAGGAAAGCUCAGGACUUGGCAAACCAUAGAGAAAUUAAAAUAAGCUGUUACAGCCUAUCUAACCAUUUAAAAGAACAAUGAUCAAAGAGAAAGAAAAACCUUUCCUUGGACAUUCUUCUCACCAAUUGCACAGGGUAAAUUUUCCUAAAGGAAUUAAUUUUGCGAACCCAAUCCAAAUGAACACUUGAGGGAAAUGCUCUACUUCAGACUCCCCAUGUUAGGAGUUUAGGGCCAGGGUUUUCAAACUGUAUUAACAUAAGAGCCACUCCUGAGGUGAUUCAAGACCAUUUUGGUGCCAGGAAAAUCAAAACAGGAACAAAGCUAUUUGUAUUCAUAGAAGCUGCAACCAGGGAAGCACAGUUUUCUGAUUUCCAUAUGGAAUUCAGCAUAUGAAUACAGUUCUUUAAAAGGACUGGUAAUUGGGGGUACCUGGUUGGCUGGCUCAGUCAGUGGAGCAUGUAACUCUCCAUCUAGGGGUUCUGGGCACCUGGGUGGCUCAGUAGGCUAAGUGUCCGACUUCAGCUCAGGUCAUUAUCCCACAGUUCGUGAGUUUAAGCUGUGUCGGGCUCUGGGCUGACUGCUGUGAGCUCAGAGUCUACAGCCUGCUUUGGAUUAUGUGUCUCCCUUUCUCUCUCUCUCUC